This 1286-nucleotide long non-coding RNA is filed under the name Manihot esculenta (cassava). RNAcentral's name for it is "long non-coding RNA (MESC_LNC007724)". Lineage: Eukaryota; Viridiplantae; Streptophyta; Magnoliopsida; Malpighiales; Euphorbiaceae. The record is from RNAcentral.
UUUCCUUGAGCCUGAACUACUUGCCCAUUGCCAAGUUUCACCUUGGUGUUAACUGAUUCAUCCAGCUUGCUAAACAUGCUCUCCUCCUUGGCUAUGUGACUGGUACAACCACUAUCAAUGUACCAUGUUUGUUGAUUGGCAUCUCUUGUGACUUGAGAAGCCAUGAACAUGUUUUCAGCCUCAUCCUUCUCCUCAGCAGUAAGUCUCCCGUCCAUCGCCAAUUGUGUGUCCAAAAAAUUGACACAAACGAACUACUUACUAUGGAAAAAUAAGAUAAUUUCUUUGAUUGAAUUACCGGUGUUAACAUGUUAGCAUCAGAUUCUAUUACGAGUUGGCCUGCAGCUCCUUUUGUCUAUUCCGACAACUUGGGAUACUUAUAUAGGUAUAGGCUACGUAAACCUUGUCCUCUUCUGAUUCAACCUCCUACUGCUCUUAGAUUAAGGCUACCGUAAAUCUCAAGCCUGAACCUUAUUGGAGCCUCUUCGUGCCUUACUUGUCUAUCCUGCUUCCUCUUUUCAUUCAAUAUCCCCUGCAAAUCCUUAUCCUGGCAUCUAUCUAAGAUAGGUAAAUGCCUUACAAUUUAUUUCUUCGAGAACAAGCCCUGUUCACUCAACCAUAGGCGCUGGCAUUCCUGUUCUUGCAGCUACUUCUGGGCACGUGGGUAUCUUUGAUCCAGUUUAGGCAGCUUUCAGUCCUGGGAAAGCUCUAUCGAAACUUGUUUCAAGAAGGAAGGUGUGAGAUUGAGUUGUAACAUCAGGCCCAACCCUUCACUUUUGCCUACGUUUCUCUUCCUUAUCUAAGUUAGAUAGCCUGCCAGCAUAAGCCCGAUAGUUUGUCCCUCUACCCUCGUACUAGCUCAUGAUCGAGAAUUCUUAUUCGUGAGCAAGUUAGAGCGAGACCUUAGUGGCUGGAAUACCAUACCAUAGGAUUUGAACUCUUGUCUCUGCCUAAAGCCUAAAAUAGGAGGAUUUCUCUGGCCACAUUGACCAGAAAAUCUAUAAAAUAUGUUGAAUUAGCCCCGUGAAUGACUAAUUCGUCCCGCACCACCUGAAGAAAUUCUAGGGAUGCCUCAUCUAGCAAUGAAAACUCUAAGAUCUCUAAUAAAUUGACAUGAGGACAAGGAGGUAUGUAUACAUUUGCCCGUGGUUCAAGUGAUUAUCCAUUUGAAUUAUGGCUUGGUUGAGUGAGUUUCGCUUGUCCCCGAAUCCCUCCUAAAGAUAGAGCUUGAUGGGGAGAAUCAUGCUUACCACAUUCAUCUGAGGUUGUAGCGAGCUCUGCGCAAGUGA